GACGAACGCUGGCGGCGUGCUUAACACAUGCAAGUCGAACGCUGAAGCUCAGCUUUUGUUGGGUGGAUGAGUGGCGAACGGGUGAGUAACACGUGAGUAACCUGCCCCCUUCUUUGGGAUAACGCCCGGAAACGGGUGCUAAUACUGGAUAUUCACUGGUCUUCGCAUGGGGGUUGGUGGAAAGGGUUUUUCUGGUGGGGGAUGGGCUCGCGGCCUAUCAGCUUGUUGGUGGGGUGAUGGCCUACCAAGGCUUUGACGGGUAGCCGGCCUGAGAGGGUGACCGGUCACAUUGGGACUGAGAUACGGCCCAGACUCCUACGGGAGGCAGCAGUGGGGAGUAUUGCACAAUGGGCGCAAGCAUGAUGCAGCGACGCCGCGUGAGGGAUGGAGGCCUUCGGGUUGUGAACCUCUUUCGCUCAUGGUCAAGCCGCAACAAUGGUUGUGGUGAGGGUAGUGGGUAAAGAAGCGCCGGCUAACUACGUG
This 483-nucleotide ribosomal RNA is filed under the name uncultured bacterium. RNAcentral describes it as "partial 16S ribosomal RNA". It matches the Rfam family "Bacterial small subunit ribosomal RNA", at positions 28 to 507 of the family's 1533-position model. The record is from RNAcentral.